RNAcentral lists this ribosomal RNA (433 nucleotides) under uncultured bacterium. RNAcentral's name for it is "partial 16S ribosomal RNA". It matches the Rfam family "Bacterial small subunit ribosomal RNA", at positions 29 to 507 of the family's 1533-position model. The record is from RNAcentral.
AACGAACGCUGGCGGCAUGCCUAACACAUGCAAGUCGAACGAGACCUUCGGGUCUAGUGGCGCACGGGUGCGUAACGCGUGGGAACCUGCCCUUAGGUUCGGAAUAACUCCCCGAAAGGGGUGCUAAUACCGGAUAAUGUCUUCGGACCAAAGAUUUAUCGCCUUUGGAUGGGCCCGCGUUGGAUUAGCUAGUUGGUAGGGUAAAAGCCUACCAAGGCGACGAUCCAUAGCUGGUCUGAGAGGAUGAUCAGCCACACUGGGACUGAGACACGGCCCAGACUCCUACGGGAAGCAGCAGUGGGGAAUAUUGGACAAUGGGCGAAAGCCUGAUCCAGCAAUGCCGCGUGAGUGAUGAAGGCCUUAGGGUUGUAAAGCUCUUUUACCCGGGAUGAUAAUGACAGUACCGGGAGAAUAAGCUCCGGCUAACUCCGUG